Molecule: small nuclear RNA, 104 nt
Organism: Gracilinanus agilis (Agile Gracile Mouse Opossum)
Lineage: Eukaryota; Metazoa; Chordata; Mammalia; Didelphimorphia; Didelphidae
Source: RefSeq, a predicted model, not a curated record
GUACUCUCUAUGGUAGCACAUAUAUUAAAACUGGAAUAAUAUAGAGAUUAUCAUGGCCUAUGGGCAAGGAUGGCAUAUAAAUUCAAUAAGCAUUUCAUAUUUUA